Molecule: non-coding RNA, 135 nt
Organism: Triticum aestivum (bread wheat)
Lineage: Eukaryota; Viridiplantae; Streptophyta; Magnoliopsida; Poales; Poaceae
Source: Rfam
CACCUACUCCCUCCGUCUCAAAAUUCUUGUCUUACAUUUGUCUAAAUACAGAUGUAUCAAGUCAGGUUUUAAUAUUAGAUACAUCCGUAUCUAGGCAAAUCUAAGACAAGAAUUUUGGGAGGGAGGGAGUACAAA